Molecule: ribosomal RNA, 450 nt
Filed under: uncultured bacterium
Lineage: Bacteria
Description: bacterial SSU rRNA
Rfam family: Bacterial small subunit ribosomal RNA
Source: RNAcentral
GUGGGGAAUAUUGGACAAUGGGCGAAAGCCUGAUCCAGCCAUGCCGCGUGUGUGAAGAAGGUCUUCGGAUUGUAAAGCACUUUAAGUUGGGAGGAAGGGCAGUAAGUUAAUACCUUGCUCUUUUGACGUUACCAACAGAAUAAGCACCGGCUAACUUCGUGCCAGCAGCCGCGGUAAUACGAAGGGUGCAAGCGUUAAUCGGAAUUACUGGGCGUAAAGCGCGCGUAGGUGGUUCAGCAAGUUGAAGGUGAAAUCCCCGGGCUCAACCUGGGAACUGCCUCCAAAACUACUGAGCUAGAGUACGGUAGAGGGUAGUGGAAUUUCCUGUGUAGCGGUGAAAUGCGUAGAUAUAGGAAGGAACACCAGUGGCGAAGGCGACUACCUGGACUGAUACUGACACUGAGGUGCGAAAGCGUGGGGAGCAAACAGGAUUAGAAACCCCGGUAGUCC